This 400-nucleotide ribosomal RNA is filed under the name uncultured bacterium. RNAcentral describes it as "bacterial SSU rRNA". It matches the Rfam family "Bacterial small subunit ribosomal RNA", at positions 356 to 773 of the family's 1533-position model. The record is from RNAcentral.
GGGGAAUAUUGCACAAUGGGGGAAACCCUGAUGCAGCAACGCCGCGUGAGUGAUGACGGUCUUCGGAUUGUAAAGCUCUGUCUUCAGGGACGAUAAUGACGGUACCUGAGGAGGAAGCCACGGCUAACUACGUGCCAGCAGCCGCGGUAAUACGUAGGUGGCAAGCGUUGUCCGGAUUUACUGGGCGUAAAGGGAGCGUAGGUGGAUAUUUAAGUGGGAUGUGAAAUACUCGGGCUUAACCUGGGUGCUGCAUUCCAAACUGGAUAUCUAGAGUGCAGGAGAGGAAAGUAGAAUUCCUAGUGUAGCGGUGAAAUGCGUAGAGAUUAGGAAGAAUACCGGUGGCGAAGGCGACUUUCUGGACUGUAACUGACACUGAGGCUCGAAAGCGUGGGGAGCAAAC